RNAcentral lists this ribosomal RNA (318 nucleotides) under uncultured eukaryote. RNAcentral's name for it is "partial 18S ribosomal RNA". It matches the Rfam family "Eukaryotic small subunit ribosomal RNA", at positions 1470 to 1796 of the family's 1831-position model. The record is from RNAcentral.
CCCUUAGAUGUUCUGGGCCGCACACGCGCUACACUGAAGGAGGCAGCGUGUACUCCUGGAUCGAAAGAUUUGGGUAACCCGCGAAUCUCCUUCGUGCUAGGGAUUGAGGUUUGCAAUUAUCCUUCAUGAACGAGGAAUUCCCAGUAAGUGCAAGUCAUAAGCUUGCGCUGACUACGUCCCUGCCCUUUGUACACACCGCCCGUCGCUACUACCGAUUGAAUGGUCCGGUGAAAUCUCGGGACGGCGGCUUGGUCGCUUGCGUCCGACUGCUGAAACUUGAUUAAACCAUAUCAUUUAGAGGAAGGUGAAGUCGUAACA